This 871-nucleotide long non-coding RNA is filed under the name Scophthalmus maximus (turbot). RNAcentral's name for it is "lncRNA (ENSSMAG00000025786.1)". Lineage: Eukaryota; Metazoa; Chordata; Actinopteri; Pleuronectiformes; Scophthalmidae. The record is from RNAcentral.
UGUCUGUCGUUUUCUUUUCCAAAGAAAGUUAAAAAAACAAAACCCUCCACCUGACUCCCUCCACUCGAACACACCUGCUCCGUGUGCGUGUAAUCAAACCUCUCCGGUGUCGCAGCGACCUCUACCGACAGUUGACGGCGCCAUGGGCGACUCUCCGUUCGUUGAUAAAACAACAUCAGCAGGUCAACGGCGGGUUUUUUUAAUCGGUUAAGUUGCUGUUUUUCUACAAGGAAAAAAAAAAGGUCAACAGCAAUCUGUUUUUUUAAUGGGAGGUCGUCGGACAACACGGGCAGGCCAGCGGUCGAAGGCAGCGGAUUGAUAUCUGAAGUGUGAUUCGGCUACAGGUGUACUACUCUGAUUAGGGAUUUUACUACAUAGUCGGUCCAGGGGUUCUAUUUUUAUUUUUAUUUUAUUUUUUUGGGGGGCGUUUUGAGUUGUAAUAACUGCAGGUAAUAACUGAUCACUCAUAAUGACUCCAACUGUUGCAGUCCUCCCACACCGUUCAACAGGACUAUUAACUCUUAAAUGGACGUCAGCCGUACUUCCUUCUGCACCGAGCUCCUGGAAGAGAGGCCUUUUUCACGUGAACGGCAUCUCAUCCAGGCUACAAUGCUCGUGAAAUCAACCGUAACCAUGAAGACCAAAUGACCGCUUCAGCCGUGGUGGAUUCCAUAACAGAGGCGAUUCCAUAACUACACCACAAGAUUUCUGGCAUGAAUUCAAGGUGAGCAUUGACUUUGUUUUCUUUGGGGCCAAAAACUAUUAUUUCAGUUCAUUCUGUUUUGAGCUGUACUCACCCUGUGACACUGUUGUGUAGUGUUGUGUGUCAAAACCCAGUCUUCUGUCAUUGAGACAUCUGGUCUGGUUCAAC